RNAcentral lists this ribosomal RNA (411 nucleotides) under uncultured bacterium. RNAcentral describes it as "bacterial SSU rRNA". It matches the Rfam family "Bacterial small subunit ribosomal RNA", at positions 30 to 445 of the family's 1533-position model. The record is from RNAcentral.
CUGAACGCUGGCGGUAGCUACCCAUGCUAAUCGAGGGGUAACAGGAGAUAGCUUGCUAUCUUGCUGACGACCGGCGAACGGGUGAGUAACGCGUAGGAAUCUGCCUCAAAGCAGGGGAUAGCCCGGGGAAACUCGGAUUAAUACCGUAUAUAUUCUAAGGAAUAAAGAUGCCUUUUGGUGUCGCUUUGAGAUGAGCCUGCGUCCGAUUAGCUUGUUGGUAAGGUAAAAGCUUACCAAGGCGACGAUCGGUAGCUGGUCUGAGAGGACGUACAGCCACACUGGGACUGAGACACGGCCCAGACUCCUACGGGAGGCAGCAGUGGGGAAUAUUGCGCAAUGGGGGCAACCCUGACGCAGCCAUACCGCGUGGAUGAAGAAGGCCUUAGGGUCGUAAAGUCCUUUCAGCAAGGA